AAGGCGCUCUAUACGUAGCUCCUUCGACGAGUCGAGUUGUUUGGGAAUGCAGCUCUAAAUGGGAGGUAAAUUUCUUCUAAAGCUAAAUAUUGGCCAGAGACCGAUAGCGCACAAGUAGAGUGAUCGAAAGAUGAAAAGCACUUUGGAAAGAGAGUUAAAAAGCACGUGAAAUUGUUAAAAGGGAAGGGAUUGCAACCAGACUUGCUCGCGG
This 211-nucleotide ribosomal RNA is filed under the name Cladosporium limoniforme. RNAcentral's name for it is "partial 28S ribosomal RNA". It matches the Rfam family "Eukaryotic large subunit ribosomal RNA", at positions 234 to 444 of the family's 3401-position model. Lineage: Eukaryota; Fungi; Ascomycota; Dothideomycetes; Cladosporiales; Cladosporiaceae. The record is from RNAcentral.